RNAcentral lists this ribosomal RNA (449 nucleotides) under uncultured bacterium. RNAcentral describes it as "bacterial SSU rRNA". It matches the Rfam family "Bacterial small subunit ribosomal RNA", at positions 28 to 457 of the family's 1533-position model. The record is from RNAcentral.
GAUGAACGCUGGCGGCGUGCUUAACACAUGCAAGUCGAACGAAGCACUUUAUUUGAUUUCCUUCGGGACUGAUUAUUUUGUGACUGAGUGGCGGACGGGUGAGUAACGCGUGGGUAACCUGCCUUGUACAGGGGGAUAACAGUUGGAAACGGCUGCUAAUACCGCAUAAGCGCACAGCAUCGCAUGAUGCAGUGUGAAAAACUCCGGUGGUAUAAGAUGGACCCGCGUUGGAUUAGCUAGUUGGUGAGGUAACGGCCCACCAAGGCGACGAUCCAUAGCCGACCUGAGAGGGUGACCGGCCACAUUGGGACUGAGACACGGCCCAAACUCCUACGGGAGGCAGCAGUGGGGAAUAUUGCACAAUGGGCGUAAGCCUGAUGCAGCGACGCCGCGUGAGCGAAGAAGUAUUUCGGUAUGUAAAGCUCUAUCAGCAGGGAAGAUAAUGACGG